AAAAUUAGAGUGUUCAAAGCGGGCAGAAACUUUUUCCUGCCACCGAAUACAUUAGCAUGGGAUAAUGGAAUAGGACCCUGACCUCCUAUUUUCAGUUGGUUUUGUUUUUACAGCGAGGUUCAUCAGGGUAAUGAUUAAUAGGGAUAGUUGGGGGCAUUAAUAUUUAAUUGUCAGAGGUGAAAUUCUUGGAUUUAUGAAAGAUUAACUUCUGCGAAAGCGUUUGCCAAGGAUGUUUUCAUUAAUCAAGAACGAAAGUUAGGGGAUCGAAGACGAUCAGAUACCGUCGUAGUCUUAACCAUAAACGAUGCCGACCAGCGAUUAGGAGACGUUGAAUACAAAACACCGCCGUUAAUCCUUUUCAACGGGGGUUAACGGUUGGUGAA
RNAcentral lists this ribosomal RNA (383 nucleotides) under Acanthamoeba sp. IMU16. RNAcentral describes it as "SSU rRNA". It matches the Rfam family "Eukaryotic small subunit ribosomal RNA", at positions 762 to 1096 of the family's 1831-position model. Lineage: Eukaryota; Discosea; Longamoebia; Acanthamoebidae. The record is from RNAcentral. RNAcentral also lists the same sequence under 1 other name.